CCCGGCAUUCAUGUUUUCCU
This 20-nucleotide microRNA is filed under the name Medicago truncatula (barrel medic). Its description in RNAcentral is "mtr-miR2592a-5p". The record is from miRBase by way of RNAcentral. Lineage: Eukaryota; Viridiplantae; Streptophyta; Magnoliopsida; Fabales; Fabaceae.